GGCGCAUGAAGAGGAGACAAGGGAGGGAGCAGAAUGGUCUUUUAAAAACUGCUUCACUGCACUAAUGUUCCUGAAACCUGAGCUCUUAUUGGAUCUGAAGGGCAUUAUAAGACAAGGCAUCCUCCACCCUCUACCCCUGUUUAAAGGGAUUGCUUUCAUUCAGGGAAGGAGAGGCGAAAAAGCCUUCCAGCAGAGCCCACUCCAGCUCAGCUCUUCUCCCCGUGUGCCUGUCCCCUUGUCUCUGCUUGCCAGGCCAGUUGACCAACCCUCCAACAAACCAGCCACCGGCCCGCCUGGACGGCUCGCUCGCGCCCAGGCUUGUUACUGUGAGGUAGUCAGACGCAGCUAGCUGCCUCGUGGCCUCUGACAUUUGCGUGGAAAAAAAAAAAAACGAGGAUGUGCUCAACUUUCCUCUCCUACACCUGCGAUCGCGCUCUGGGGUCUCAAGAAACCCCCCCACCCUGGAACCAGUCCAGGCCUCAUGUUAUAUGCAGGGAACACAGCAACCUCUUCUGGCCAAAAGUGAACGCAGCAGAGAGUCUGUGCUGAAGCCAGAAUAUAACAAGCUCUGUGUUCCCAUUUCUUUCUCUGUGUCAGGCACUGAGAGCUACAAGGAUACCAGAUGCCGUCCCAGCCUAUUUGUCUUAUCCGUUUUCACAGACAAACUAAUUGCUAUACAAAAGGUGCUGGCGUGUCCUGUCGAGGACCCUUGUAAAUGCUUUACAUCCACCACUCCAUUCUGCCUGCCAGUAAACUGGCUAAUUAUAAAAGGAUCACAAAAGAGUGUGAUUAGGGAUACAGAAGAGGGGGAGGAGGUGCGGUCCCACACCAGUGUAAAUGGAGCACCUGAAACUGUUAGCUUAACAUUAAUGAAAACUCAUUUUUGAAGCUGCCCAAAUAGAAACUUAAGAGGAGAAAAUAAACGUUUUAUUAUUGUUGGAACAUUAAUGUUUAGAGGUUCUAGUGCCACCUGUUAAUAUAAGACACACACACACACACAGGUAGAGCAGAUCCUUGUUUUUUUAUUUCAAACACAGUGUAAUAAAUUAUUUUAACUUAGUUUUUUUUAAUGAUUUUUCCAUCAGUUGAAUAAAAAAUUCUCAAUAAAAUGUCUUCAAAUUCUUUGAUUUUUUCAGCAACUAUUAAAAAAAUAUAUACUGCACUAAGCAGAUCUUAUUAUACUAAAAGC
Molecule: non-coding RNA, 1189 nt
Organism: Maylandia zebra (zebra mbuna)
Lineage: Eukaryota; Metazoa; Chordata; Actinopteri; Cichliformes; Cichlidae
Source: RefSeq, a predicted model, not a curated record